AUCACUUCUCGGCCUUUUGGCUAAGAUCCAGUGUAGUAUCUGUUCUUAUCAGUUUAAUAUCUGAUACGUUCUCUAUCCGAGGACAAUAUAUUAAAUGGAUUUUUGGAACAGGGAGAUGGAAUAGGAGCUUGCUCCAUCCACUCCACGGAUCGGCCUGGUAUUUCAGUACUUCUGGGAAUGGUGCACCCCUC
Molecule: small nuclear RNA, 191 nt
Filed under: Castor canadensis (American beaver)
Lineage: Eukaryota; Metazoa; Chordata; Mammalia; Rodentia; Castoridae
Description: U2 spliceosomal RNA (ENSCCNG00000005684.1)
Rfam family: U2 spliceosomal RNA
About the family: U2 is a small nuclear RNA (snRNA) component of the spliceosome (involved in pre-mRNA splicing). Complementary binding between U2 snRNA (in an area lying towards the 5' end but 3' to hairpin I) and the branchpoint sequence (BPS) of the intron results the bulging out of an unpaired adenosine, on the BPS, which initiates a nucleophilic attack at the intronic 5' splice site, thus starting the first of two transesterification reactions that mediate splicing.
Source: Rfam by way of RNAcentral